This 244-nucleotide unclassified non-coding RNA is filed under the name Hevea brasiliensis (rubber tree). The record is from RNAcentral. Lineage: Eukaryota; Viridiplantae; Streptophyta; Magnoliopsida; Malpighiales; Euphorbiaceae.
AAACUGCAAAGGGUGUUUGGUUUAAGGUGAAAAUGAAUCAUUCUAGUUCUCUUGUUAUGCUAGUUGCGAAAGUUAAAUUCUCUGGAAAUUCAUUGAACCUAAAUUUCUUAAUAUUGUUACCUGAGUUUAAGUACACUGGGACCUUAAAGGAGCACCAUUUCUUCUCAUCAUAAUUCCCCUUAUUUAUGUGUCGACAGAACAAAAUGACUCAUUCAAGGACAAUGCAAUUUAAAUUCUUGAUCAA